GACGAACGCUGGCGGCGUGCCUAAUACAUGCAAGUAGAACGCUGAAGGAGGAGCUUGCUUCUCCGGAUGAGUUGCGAACGGGUGAGUAACGCGUAGGUAACCUGCCUGGUAGCGGGGGAUAACUAUUGGAAACGAUAGCUAAUACCGCAUAAGAGUAGAUGUUGCAUGACAUUUGCUUAAAAGGUGCAAUUGCAUCACUACCAGAUGGACCUGCGAUGUAUUAGCUAGUUGGUGAGGUAACGGCUCACCAAGGCGACGAUACAUAGCCGACCUGAGAGGGUGAUCGGCCACACUGGGACUGAGACACGGCCCAGACUCCUACGGGAGGCAGCAGUAGGGAAUCUUCGGCAAUGGACGGAAGUCUGACCGAGCAACGCCGCGUGAGUGAAGAAGGUUUUCGGAUCGUAAAGCUCUGUUGUAAGAGAAGAACGAGUGUGAGAGUGGAAAGUUCACACUGUGACGGUAUCUUACCAGAAAGGGACGGCUAACUACGUG
Molecule: ribosomal RNA, 495 nt
Filed under: uncultured bacterium
Lineage: Bacteria
Description: partial 16S ribosomal RNA
Rfam family: Bacterial small subunit ribosomal RNA
Source: RNAcentral